This 452-nucleotide ribosomal RNA is filed under the name uncultured Streptococcus sp. RNAcentral's name for it is "bacterial SSU rRNA". It matches the Rfam family "Bacterial small subunit ribosomal RNA", at positions 930 to 1382 of the family's 1533-position model. The record is from RNAcentral. Lineage: Bacteria; Bacillati; Bacillota; Bacilli; Lactobacillales; Streptococcaceae.
CGGUGGAGCAUGUGGUUUAAUUCGAAGCAACGCGAAGAACCUUACCAGGUCUUGACAUCCCGAUGCUAUUUCUAGAGAUAGAAAGUUACUUCGGUACAUCGGUGACAGGUGGUGCAUGGUUGUCGUCAGCUCGUGUCGUGAGAUGUUGGGUUAAGUCCCGCAACGAGCGCAACCCCUAUUGUUAGUUGCCAUCAUUCAGUUGGGCACUCUAGCGAGACUGCCGGUAAUAAACCGGAGGAAGGUGGGGAUGACGUCAAAUCAUCAUGCCCCUUAUGACCUGGGCUACACACGUGCUACAAUGGUUGGUACAGAGGGUAGCCAACCCGCGAGGGGGAGCCAAUCCCACAAAAGCCGGUCGUAGUCCGGAUCGCAGUCUGCAACUCGACUGCGUGAAGUCGGAAUCGCUAGUAAUCGCGGAUCAGCAUGUCGCGGUGAAUACGUUCCCGGGUCUU